UACGGAGGGGGCCAGCGUUGUUCGGAAUUACUGGGCGUAAAGGGCGCGUAGGCGGCCGCGCAAGUCGGUUGUGAAAUCCCUCGGCUCAACCGAGGAACUGCGUCCGAAACUGCGCGGCUCGAGUCCCGGAGAGGGUAGCGGAAUUCCCAGUGUAGCGGUGAAAUGCGUAGAUAUUGGGAGGAACACCAGUGGCGAAGGCGGCUACCUGGACGGGUACUGACGCUGAGGCGCGAAAGCUAGGGGAGCAAACAGG
Molecule: ribosomal RNA, 253 nt
Filed under: uncultured bacterium
Lineage: Bacteria
Description: partial 16S ribosomal RNA
Rfam family: Bacterial small subunit ribosomal RNA
Source: RNAcentral